UACGGAGGAUCCGAGCGUUAUCCGGAUUUAUUGGGUUUAAAGGGAGCGUAGGUGGAUUGUUAAGUCAGUUGUGAAAGUUUGCGGCUCAACCGUAAAAUUGCAGUUGAAACUGGCAGUCUUGAGUAGAGUAGAGGUGGGCGGAAUUCGUGGUGUAGCGGUGAAAUGCUUAGAUAUCACGAAGAACUCCGAUUGCGAAGGCAGCUCACUGGACUGCAACUGACACUGAGGCUCGAAAGUGUGGGUAUCAAACAGG
RNAcentral lists this ribosomal RNA (253 nucleotides) under uncultured bacterium. Its description in RNAcentral is "partial 16S ribosomal RNA". It matches the Rfam family "Bacterial small subunit ribosomal RNA", at positions 524 to 776 of the family's 1533-position model. The record is from RNAcentral.